RNAcentral lists this unclassified non-coding RNA (336 nucleotides) under soil metagenome. Its description in RNAcentral is "partial contains 5.8S ribosomal RNA, internal transcribed spacer 2, and large subunit ribosomal RNA". The stretch from base 1 to 120 matches the Rfam family "5.8S ribosomal RNA", at positions 35 to 154 of the family's 154-position model. The record is from RNAcentral.
GUUGAAGAACGUAGCGAAAUGCGAUAAGUAAUGUGAAUUGCAGAAUUCCGUGAAUCAUCGAAUCUUUGAACGCACAUUGCGCCCCCUGGUAUUCCGGGGGGCAUGCCUGUCCGAGCGUCAUUGCAACCUUCAAGCGCGGCUUGUGUGUUGGGUCUCGUCCCCCGUGGACGGGCCCGAAAGGCAGUGGCGGCGUCCCGACAUGGUGCCCGAGCGUAUGGGAAUCCUCUUCCGCUCGAAUCGGCCCAUGCGGCGCUGGUCGUAACCAAAUUUUUUACCGGUUGACCUCGGAUCAGGUAGGGAUACCCGCUGAACUUAAGCAUAUCAAUAAGCGGAGGA